AUUGAACGCUGGCGGCAGGCCUAACACAUGCAAGUCGAGCGGAUGAAGGGAGCUUGCUCCUGGAUUCAGCGGCGGACGGGUGAGUAAUGCCUAGGAAUCUGCCUGGUAGUGGGGGAUAACGUCCGGAAACGGGCGCUAAUACCGCAUACGUCCUGAGGGAGAAAGUGGGGGAUCUUCGGACCUCACGCUAUCAGAUGAGCCUAGGUCGGAUUAGCUCGUUGGUGGGGUAAAGGCCUACCAAGGCGACGAUCCGUAACUGGUCUGAGAGGAUGAUCAGUCACACUGGAACUGAGACACGGUCCAGACUCCUACGGGAGGCAGCAGUGGGGAAUAUUGGACAAUGGGCGAAAGCCUGAUCCAGCCAUGCCGCGUGUGUGAAGAAGGUCUUCGGAUUGUAAAGCACUUUAAGUUGGGAGGAAGGGCAGUAAGUUAAUACCUUGCUGUUUUGACGUUACCAACAGAAUAAGCACCGGCUAACUUCGUG
Molecule: ribosomal RNA, 484 nt
Filed under: uncultured bacterium
Lineage: Bacteria
Description: partial 16S ribosomal RNA
Rfam family: Bacterial small subunit ribosomal RNA
Source: RNAcentral